GAUGAAGAACGUAGCGAAAUGCGAUACGUAAUGUGAAUUGCGGAAUUCAGUGAAUCAUCGAAUCUUUGAACGCAUAUUGCGCUCUUUGGUAUUCCGAAGAGCAUGCUUGUUUGAGUAUCAGUAAACACCUCAAAGCUUUUGGAUUUUUUAAUCGAAAAGCUUUGGACUUGAGCAAUCCCAACACCAAUCUUUUUGAGAUCGGUGGCGGGUUGCUUGAAAUGCAGGUGCAGCUGGACAUUCUCCUGAGCUAAAAGCAUAUUCAUUUAGUCCCGUCAAACGGAUUAUUACUUUUGCUGCAGCUAACAUAAAGGGAGUUUGACCGUAUUGGCUGACUGAUGCAGGAUUUCACAAGGGUCGGCAACGAUUCUUGUUAAACUCGAUCUCAAAUCAAGUAAGACUACCCGCUGAACUUAAGCAUAUCAAUAAGCGGAGGA
RNAcentral lists this unclassified non-coding RNA (434 nucleotides) under soil metagenome. Its description in RNAcentral is "partial contains 5.8S ribosomal RNA, internal transcribed spacer 2, and large subunit ribosomal RNA". The stretch from base 1 to 120 matches the Rfam family "5.8S ribosomal RNA", at positions 35 to 154 of the family's 154-position model. The record is from RNAcentral.